CCACGAACCAAACAAGCCCUUCAUGUCCAACAGCUAAAUUCUUUCGCUGUUGUGCUCCGGCCUCCAGCGAAAAGAUUGCGAGCCUUCAGGGAUAACGCGUCAUCAUACUGGGAGAUGAUACCUUUAUUUCCUGAAACAUGGUUAUCCAAGCACAAGGAAAAAGUUCCAGCAGUGAUUGCGACUCGCCAGCUCAAGGUUUUGCAAAUCUAUUUCGGUCGUAUUCCCUCUUUUUAUUUGUGUGCGCGCUACACCUGUGAAAGAACUUGUACCUCAUGUCAGGUGACUGCGGAAUCCAAGAUGGGAUCGAUGCUUCUACAGCUGCUUGAAGUUGUUCCACACCGCCCCCACCUUGGCCUUGCACAGCUUCUUUCCGCUGCCGGCAUCCACCUCGACAGUAAAAUGCAUGGUCCUGGCAUCACGUUCUGCACAUAUAUUAUACAUGGGAUGCAUCAGUGGUGGCUCCAACGAUAUCAACUAGGUUUAUGCAGAGUGACAUGUCUUUCGGUCUUGCUGUUGUGCUCCGUGACCGUGACUGAAGCACGCGAGCUCAAUGGCCUCGAGGUCGCUCUCACACCCAGUGGGUGCGUUUUGGACGUCGUCCACCAUCCCACAGGCCGUUCUCGUCUCGGCCAUGGCUGCUGGAGCCUGUGGAGAGGGAGAAAAGCUGUGCAGAGGGAGAAAGAGGAAGCUGCGGCGAGACGAGACAGACGACGACAGACACUCCUGAGUCCUGCUUGUAGUAGUAGAGCACCAACAACGGGCUAUUGCAUACCAUCAAUGGGCAGGUCUCCUAAUCUAGAAGUGAAUUUACUUUCUGCCAAUUCUUCCAUUAUCUGCUAUUGCAUAGCUUUUUCAUUACUUCACUUCAUUCUAGCUAAGGGGCAGUGAAAAAUUAUCUAUAUGGGCAGUGCAGAUUAGUAGUAAGUGCUUCUAAAACCUCAAGACCCGCCAAACGUCUCUGUUAAAUAUCAACUCCAUUCAUUGCUCGUAUCUGAAUGUUAAAUGUGCUUUUGCAGACUAUCUGUAGCGAGCCUCUAUGUCCUACAGGCUGGUUAGGACUGUCAUCUGAUCAUUGUUUCCUUGUGGAGCUCAUUCAAAUCCUGGUAUUUUUAUCCGAAAAAUAUCGCCCCAUGCGUAUAGACCUUCCUUCCAGUUUCACUGUCGGCCUCAGAUAUGUCAAGCUAUGAUUCUCUUCCAUGGUUAGAAUUACUGCGCUUUAAUAUUUGCUUUGCAUGAUUCACGAGUUUUUUUAAUUGUCUUCGUGCCCAUUGCACUUUUUUGAAACCUUCUCAGGAGCCAAUUUAAACCGUCUUGAUUGUUGAAGGUACCUCUGAAUUGCUCUCGUGUGC
Molecule: unclassified non-coding RNA, 1349 nt
Filed under: Zea mays
Lineage: Eukaryota; Viridiplantae; Streptophyta; Magnoliopsida; Poales; Poaceae
Description: misc RNA Zm00001eb291740
Source: RNAcentral